RNAcentral lists this long non-coding RNA (2946 nucleotides) under Sus scrofa (pig). Its description in RNAcentral is "lncRNA (ENSSSCG00000051846.1)". Lineage: Eukaryota; Metazoa; Chordata; Mammalia; Artiodactyla; Suidae. The record is from RNAcentral.
AAAAAAAAAAAAAAAAAAAGACAGAGUAAAUUGAAACAGAAUCCCAAAGAAUUCAGAGGGACAAUUUUGUGAAAACACAUUCUAUUUCACUUUGAGGUUAUUAUAAAAACUGGAGUUUAUGGUUCGGGCAUUAAUGUUGGGGGAAUCUCAGUGUUUUUCUACUGAAUUUUCUCCUGUAAUCUGGAAGUCACCAUUUAAGAUGAUCAUCUUAUCCGUUAAUUAGGGUUGCAAAAGACUUUUCUCUUUUCAAAAGUUCAUGAACACACAACAAAUUGGAGCUACUUGUAUAAGCCCACUGAGCUUUCUGGGAUCUACCUCUGACUGACGUUGGCUCUGUUGAUCUCAGAGUGUUGACAUUUCAGGUAUUGUUGUUUUCAGAGGUUUCCCAGGCAACCACAUCAAUUCAUCUGGUCCCAGGCAAAGUGCCCUUGAACUCCCAGUCGCUUCACUUCCCGGCGUGAGUCACGUGUGUAGCAGGAGAGACACAGACUCUGUGUAGGGGGCUAACGUGAGGGGUGGGGUGAAGAGAGGGACCAUCUCACACAAAACGUCCACUUGGCUGUUGAGACUCCAGCCCGCUGCCGGCAGGGCAAGCUCUCAUUGUAACUCCAGGGGUGGGGCCGUGGGGGGUCCACGGCCAGUGCCCUGUCCUCAUCCUCAAGGCUUCUGGCUCUGCUUCCUUCUGUUCGUGUGCAUCUCCAAAUCCUUCCUGAGGAGCAGGGCAGGGAGCAAUCGGGGUCACUGGUAGUGCAGUUAGAAUAUCCUUUUCCCCUUGUUUUCUUUACCCUGGCUCUUGUCCUCCCCAUUGAUGACUGGUGACGGGCUUGACUGGUGAAUGUGGCCACAGAAUAUACAAUCUGCAAGUCCCACUCAGGAGGCUUCUAACCAUCCUAGGGCUGCGCUCCAUGGCCCACGGGGCUCCCGGAGUCUAGAGCUCUGAACGGUUCAUCCUCCUCAUGCAGAUCCAACCACAGAAGCAGAGCCCCACCCUCCCCACCCUCCCCACCCUCCCCACCCCUCCCCCUCCUUUCCCACUUGGCCCCACCCCCGCCCCCACUCCACCCCCACCAUCCGCUCUCCCACCUGCUAUAUUCUGUUCUGUCUGAUCCACUCACUGGGACAUGAAUAUCCUGUUGAAAUGUGUCUAAGUAAGCACAUUAAAAAAAAAAAAAACUAACCUUCCUGGGUCUAUAAAUAAUUUAAAUAAGGAUGUGCAUCUAAUAACAUAUAUAAUAUGGAAUAUAUAUAUUUAGCUCUCUGAGUAGUUGCUUUAGCUACCAGCCCUUCUACCAGCUGCAAUUACCUCUGUGAUUAUCACUUUGAAUAAUCCGCGGCUUGUUAAAAUUAAUGGAGAGAAAUGUAAUUUUAUAGUAGGAAAUGUAGUUGUCAGGGUGUGAAAUAAUAGUAAUCAGUUUGAAUAAAUAUUUGCUAUUUGUUUUCAUAAAAGUUUAAAUCCUCAAAAGAGAACUCUGACCAAAAUAGGACUAGAGCAGGAUCACGGAAACAGGUGGUAUGAGUCAUACUCUUGGCUUUUAAUUAAAGGAUGCUCUGGCUGUUGGCAUGGACUGCACAGAGGCAGUUUUAGGAUUUCUUAAGCUGGACUCCAGCUGGAGAAUUCUUAAUCAGGGCGGACUUACUCUGAUUGUUUAUCGUCUAUUUGUGCGCUGAUGAGAAGUGGUGAUACGGUGCUGAUACCUCAAUCACGGUUUAAAAAAUUCAAAGAGCAUAUGAAUCCUCGGACCUGGACAGUUCUUCCUGAGCCAGAGGGGUUUUGUGCAAAGCUACUAUGUAGACCAGAGAAUCGGUCUUUUGCUGUUUAGUUUUGUCACCCUAUGUCAAUAGCUGAAUGGAUAUUCUGAAUUAAUAAGCAUAACGUUUGUAUAAGCUAAAGACUAGUCUAAGCUCUGCAUUCGUUGAUGGGAACCUUAAUCAAGUGUUUCUUUUCAUCAGCUUGUUCAAGAGGCUUAAACAUAAUUAUGGUUCUGAGGCCAUGACAUACCAACUGGGUAAAAUUGUAGCUAGCACUGGGACAGGUGACUUAAAGUUUGGGCUUGCGAGUUGCUUCUAGGACUUGGAAGGUCCUGAAGAACUAGGUUUUGGGGGAAUAUGUGUAUAUUUAUACUUUGUAUCUUACUGAGAAGAAUCUAGGUAUUAAAAUAUAUCCAUAGGAUUGCAUUUGGUUUUAUUUACUUUUGCCUUUUUUUUUUUUUUAAGGCCACACCUGUGGCAUACGGAGGUUCCCAGACUAGGGGUCCAACUGGAGCUGUAGCCACUGGCCUACACCACAGCCACAGCAAUGCAGGGUCGGAGCUGUGUCUGAAAUCUACACCACAGCUCACGGCAACACCAGACCCUUAACCCACUGAGAGAGGCCAGGGAUUGAACCCACGUCAUCAUGGAUGCUAGAUGGGUCGUUAACCGCUGAGCCACGAUGGGAACUCCUGGUUCUAUUUCUUCUUUUUUUUCUGCUUAAUAUUUUUAAAAGUUAUUUUAUUGAAGUAUAGUUGAUUCGCAAUGUUGUGUUAAUUUCUGCUGCACAGCAAAGUGAUUUAGUUAUACGUACAUGUAUAUAUAUUAUAUUCUUUUUCAUAGUCUUUGCCAUUAUGGCUUACCUCAGGAUAUUGACUGUAGUUCCCUGUACCACACAGUAGGAUCUUGUCGUUGAGAUUGUUUUGUUUUUAACUAAUGUUCUGGUUAAAAAUGAUGGGAGUUCCCGUUGUGGCGCAGUGGUUAAUGAAUCUGACUAGGAGCCAUGAGGUUGCGGGUUCGGUCCCUGCCCUUGCUCAGUGGGUUAACGAUCUGGCGUUGCUGUGAGCUGUGGUGUAGGUUGCAGAAGCGGCUCGGAUCCCGUGUUGCUGUGGCUCUGGCAUAGGCUGGUGGCUACAGCUCCGAUUCGACCCUAGCCUGGGAACUUCCAUAUGCCGUGGGAGCGGCCCAAGAAAUAGC